CUUAGCCAUAAACAUAAAUAGUUCAUAACACUACUAUUCGCCAGAGAACUACAAGCCACCGCUUAAAACUCAAAGGACUUGGCGGUGCUUUAUAUCCAUCUAGAGGAGCCUGUUCCAUAAUCGAUGAUCCCCGAUCUACCUUACCACUCCUUGCUAAUUCAGCCUAUAUACCGCCAUCUUCAGCUGACCCUAAAAAGGAAACAAAGUAAGCUAAAAAAGUAAAUACUAAAGAAGUUAGGUCAAGGUGUAGCCCAUGGAGUGGAGCGAAAUGGGCUACAUUUUCUAAUUCUAGAACAUCACGAAACUCUAUGUGAAACCCAUAGAAUAAAGGAGGAUUUAGUAGUAAAUUAAAACUAGAGUGUUUAAUUGAAUAGAGCAAUGAAGCACG
Molecule: ribosomal RNA, 388 nt
Filed under: Dipodomys spectabilis (banner-tailed kangaroo rat)
Lineage: Eukaryota; Metazoa; Chordata; Mammalia; Rodentia; Heteromyidae
Description: partial 12S ribosomal RNA
Rfam family: Bacterial small subunit ribosomal RNA
Source: RNAcentral